CAAUAAGCAUCGAACAAGAGAGUAGGUGUGUGGCAGUCUCCAGAGAGAGGACGUUAGUGAAAGAUCCUUGGCUGACAUGCAUUGAAGGUAGCUUGCGAGCUGGUCACUUAGCAGUGUUGAGUGGCCCGGAUAACAUCCGUUAACGUGAUUUAAGUGGGGAUAAUUCCCAAUUUAGGUGGUACCGCGAGAAACUCGUCCUAUUC
This 203-nucleotide non-coding RNA is filed under the name Paucilactobacillus vaccinostercus. RNAcentral's name for it is "Lactobacillus vaccinostercus T-box sequence". It matches the Rfam family "T-box leader". From Rfam's summary of the family: Uncharged tRNA acts as the effector for transcription antitermination of genes in the T-box leader family. T-boxes are found upstream of many aminoacyl-tRNA synthetase genes and some amino acid biosynthetic genes usually in Gram-positive bacteria. The record is from RNAcentral. Lineage: Bacteria; Bacillati; Bacillota; Bacilli; Lactobacillales; Lactobacillaceae.